Non-coding RNA from Paramuricea clavata, 216 nucleotides. NCBI's taxonomy places the organism in Eukaryota, Metazoa, Cnidaria, Anthozoa, Malacalcyonacea, Plexauridae. The record is from the annotation of a GenBank genome assembly.
CUAGGGUUUCUGGGGUCUCAUAACAGUCAGCCAUAUCAGUAAAUAUUAAAUCCAGUAUAUUUGUGUUUCUAGUAGGUUGCACUACAAUUUAUUUAAGAGGUAUAACUGGUGACAUUCCAGGUAUAACUGGUGACGUCGAUGGUGUACGGACGUGUAUUUUGUGCUCCGUUACUUCAACUUAAAUGAAUGUUACAAAUCACAAGUAUUUGAUAUAUU